Molecule: non-coding RNA, 134 nt
Organism: Triticum aestivum (bread wheat)
Lineage: Eukaryota; Viridiplantae; Streptophyta; Magnoliopsida; Poales; Poaceae
Source: Rfam
AUACUAUUCCCUUCUUUCGAAAAUAUUUGUCAUUCAAAUAGAUAAAAAAAAUGUAUCUAGAUGUAUUUUAGUUCUAGAUACAUCUCUUUUUAUCUAUUUUGAUGACAAGUAUUUUCGAACGGAGAAAGUACCAG